Molecule: ribosomal RNA, 176 nt
Filed under: uncultured bacterium
Lineage: Bacteria
Description: partial 16S ribosomal RNA
Rfam family: Bacterial small subunit ribosomal RNA
Source: RNAcentral
UAGUCGCAAGACCAAAGAGGGGGACCUCGGGCCUCUUGCCAUCGGAUGUGCCCAGAUGGGAUUAGCUUGUUGGUGGGGUAACGGCUCACCAAGGCGACGAUCCCUAGCUGGUCUGAGAGGAUGACCAGCCACACUGGAACUGAGACACGGUCCAGACUCCUACGGGAGGCAGCAUG